Molecule: ribosomal RNA, 439 nt
Filed under: uncultured bacterium
Lineage: Bacteria
Description: partial 16S ribosomal RNA
Rfam family: Bacterial small subunit ribosomal RNA
Source: RNAcentral
CCUACGGGAGGCUGCAGUGGGGGAUAUUGCACAAUGGGGGAAACCCUGAUGCAGCGACGCCGCGUGAGUGAAGAAGUAUUUCGGUAUGUAAAGCUCUAUCAGCAGGGAAGAAAAUGACAGUACCUGACCAAGAAGCCCCGGCUAACUACGUGCCAGCAGCCGCGGUAAUACGUAGGGGGCAAGCGUUAUCCGGAUUUAUUGGGUUUAAAGGGUGCGUAGGCGGGCAUUUAAGCCGGCGGUCAAAUGUCGGGGCUCAACCCCGGCCUGCCGUCGGAACUGGGUGCCUUGAGUGGGCGAGAAGUAUGCGGAAUGCGUGGUGUAGCGGUGAAAUGCAUAGAUAUCACGCAGAACCACGAUUGCGAAGGCAGCAUACCGGCGCCCUACUGACGCUGAGGCACGAAAGUGCGGGUAUCGAACAGGAUUAGAUACCCCUGUAGUC